UACGUAGGGUGCAAGCGUUAAUCGGAAUUACUGGGCGUAAAGCGUGCGCAGGCGGUUUGUUAAGACAGAUGUGAAAUCCCCCGGGCUUAACCUGGGAACUGCAUUUGUGACUGGCGACUAGAGUAUGGCAGAGGGGGGUAGAAUUCCACGUGUAGCAGUGAAAUGCGUAGAGAUGUGGAGGAAUACCGAUGGCGAAGGCAGCCCCCUGGGCCCAAUACUGACGCUCAUGCACGAAAGCUGGGGAGCAAA
Molecule: ribosomal RNA, 249 nt
Filed under: uncultured bacterium
Lineage: Bacteria
Description: partial 16S ribosomal RNA
Rfam family: Bacterial small subunit ribosomal RNA
Source: RNAcentral